RNAcentral lists this ribosomal RNA (242 nucleotides) under uncultured bacterium. Its description in RNAcentral is "partial 16S ribosomal RNA". It matches the Rfam family "Bacterial small subunit ribosomal RNA", at positions 28 to 258 of the family's 1533-position model. The record is from RNAcentral.
GAUCAACGCUGGCGGCGUGCCUAACACAUGCAAGUCGAACGCGAGAGGGGCUUCGGCCCCGAUUGAGUGGCGAACGGGUGAGUAACGCGUGGGUGACCUACCUUCGAGUGGGGGAUAACGUCCCGAAAGGGACGCUAAUACCGCAUAACAUCCUGCUUUUGAAUGGGUGGAGAUCAAAGCCGGGGAUCGCAAGACCUGGCGCUUGAUGAGGGGCCCGCGUCUGAUUAGCUAGUUGGNGAGGU